This 492-nucleotide ribosomal RNA is filed under the name uncultured bacterium. RNAcentral's name for it is "partial 16S ribosomal RNA". It matches the Rfam family "Bacterial small subunit ribosomal RNA", at positions 29 to 507 of the family's 1533-position model. The record is from RNAcentral.
AGUGAACGCUGGCGGUAGGCCUAACACAUGCAAGUCGAACGGCAGCACAGUAAGAGCUUGCUCUUACGGGUGGCGAGUGGCGGACGGGUGAGGAAUACAUCGGAAUCUACUUUUUCGUGGGGGAUAACGGAGGGAAACUUACGCUAAUACCGCAUACGACCUACGGGUGAAAGCAGUGGAUCUUCGGACCUUGCGCGAUUGAAUGAGCCGAUGUCGGAUUAGCUAGUUGGCGGGGUAAAGGCCCACCAAGGCGACGAUCCGUAGCUGGUCUGACAGGAUGAUCAGCCACACUGGAACUGAGACACGGUCCAGACUCCUACGGGAGGCAGCAGUGGGGAAUAUUGGACAAUGGGCGCAAGCCUGAUCCAGCCAUACCGCGUGGGUGAGGAAGGCCUUCGGGUUGUAAAGCCCUUUUGUUGGGAAAGAAAAGCAGCAGGUGAAUACCCCGCUGUUCUGACGGUACCCAAAGAAUAAGCACCGGCUAACUUCGUG